CCUACGGGAGGCAGCAGUGAGGAAUAUUGAUCAAUGGACGAGAGUCUGAACCAGCCAAGUAGCGUGAAGGAUGACUGCCCUAUGGGUUGUAAACUUCUUUUAUAUGGGAAUAAAAUGUUCCACGUGUGGGAUUUUGUAUGUACCAUAUGAAUAAGGAUCGGCUAACUCCGUGCCAGCAGCCGCGGUAAUACGGAGGAUCCGAGCGUUAUCCGGAUUUAUUGGGUUUAAAGGGAGCGUAGGUGGUUUGUUAAGUCAGUUGUGAAAGUUUGCGGCUCAACCGUAAAAUUGCAGUUGAAACUGGCAGUCUUGAGUACAGUAGAGGUGGGCGGAAUUCGUGGUGUAGCGGUGAAAUGCUUAGAGAUCACGAAGAACUCCGAUUGCGAAGGCAGUUCACUGGACUGCAACUGACACUGAGGCUCGAAAGUGUGGGUAUCAAACAGGAUUAGAUACCCGAGUAGUC
This 460-nucleotide ribosomal RNA is filed under the name uncultured bacterium. RNAcentral's name for it is "partial 16S ribosomal RNA". It matches the Rfam family "Bacterial small subunit ribosomal RNA", at positions 338 to 795 of the family's 1533-position model. The record is from RNAcentral.